This 501-nucleotide ribosomal RNA is filed under the name uncultured bacterium. RNAcentral describes it as "partial 16S ribosomal RNA". It matches the Rfam family "Bacterial small subunit ribosomal RNA", at positions 29 to 523 of the family's 1533-position model. The record is from RNAcentral.
AUUGAACGCUGGCGGCAUGCCUUACACAUGCAAGUCGAACGGCAGCACGGGUGCUUGCACCUGGUGGCGAGUGGCGAACGGGUGAGUAAUACAUCGGAACGUACCUUAUCGUGGGGGAUAACGCAGCGAAAGCUGUGCUAAUACCGCAUACGCCCUGAGGGGGAAAGCGGGGGAUCGCAAGACCUCGCGCGAUUAGAGCGGCCGAUGCCUGAUUAGCUUGUUGGUGGGGUAAAAGCCCACCAAGGCGACGAUCAGUAGCUGGUCUGAGAGGACGAGCAGCCACACUGGGACUGAGACACGGCCCAGACGCCUACGGGAGGCAGCAGUGGGGAAUUUUGGACAAUGGGGGCAACCCUGAUCCAGCAAUGCCGCGUGAGUGAAGAAGGCCUUCGGGUUGUAAAGCUCUUUUGUCAGGGAAGAAACACCGGCUCUAACACAGUCCGGGAAUGACGGUACCUGAAGAAUAAGCACCGGCUAACUACGUGCCAGCCGCCGCAGUAA